ACCUCUCAGCUGGACAGUCAGGGACGUUUACAGCACACACUGACAACAUGCUGUGGACUCUGCUCACUCUCAUCACUGCUCUAACAUAUGUUGAUGCAGUGAUCAUGCUGACCCAGACGCCUGCUGUCCUCACAGUUUCUACAGGACAAGAGGUCGUUCUCAAAUGUAACAUCCAGAGAAAAGAUGGAUUUUAUGUUAGUUGGUAUAAACGGGCUCAUGGUGAAGUUCCUCAAUACUCUUUGAGACUUUUCCAGUCUCACAGUUCACCUGAUAAUUUUGCAUCAGGAUUCUCCUCAGACUGAUUCAACUCUAAAUCCUCAUCAAGCAUAGAUUAUCAGUUCAUCAUAAAGAGAGCAGAGACAGGAGACACUGCUCAGUAUUUCUGUCUGACAUGGGAUAACUGUGCCAAGGAGUAUGUAUCACACUGAUUCACACCAUGACAAAAACCUCAAUGAAAGCUUCACUCCAGCAACUUUAAAUUUACUGACAUUGUGCCAGGAAUAACUUGACCAAAACAAGAAAGGACAGAGGUGAAAGUCCUCUACAGAGUGAGAAUAGUUGGAUCAGAGUCCAGCAGUGUUUAGUAAUGUGAGCAGACUGAUGAAAGAAUGAGAUGUUGAGAGUGAAAGUUGGGGUGAACAGGAUGUUUGAGUUCCUCUCCUCUCAUAUGUGACAGUCAGGAGGUUUUUGUACGGCCAUGAGUCCAAACUGAAUCACUGUGGUAUUCGGACAAGGAACCAAGCUGAUUGUGACAAGUAAGUGCUUUAAAACUCAUCAUUCAACAAGACUCAGGAUUUAUUUUUUUAAUCAAAUUAAAGAUAUUUGUCAAAUAUUUUGUUUAUGUCAUUAAGAAACAUUUUAAUGUUUUUAAAUCAUUGUAUAUUUUAGCCUAUUUUGAUCCCUGCCUUUGAUUUAUAAUGUGAAAAAAAAUCCAAAAUAUGUCAACAUUUUUGAAUAUAUUCUAUUUCAGAUAAAUUUAUCUGAUGUGUGAAUUUUUGUUAGAAAUAUGUCUUGUUUUAUACGUUUUUUGACUCUGCUGAAUUAUCUCUAAAAGUUAUCAACUAAAUUUUUUUGAUGACUUAUGCCCAUUUUUUAUUGUGAGAUUGUUGUUGAAUUAUUUAAACAGCAUUUUUCAUGGAGUGAUGUUUCAGACAUUUAAAGUUUCCUGAUUGUUGAAUGAGCCAGAUUUUAAGGAAUUAUUUCUCUAUAAUGUUUCAUAUCAUAAUAAAUCCUAAAUAUUUUUGUUUGUUUGACUGAGAGAAUUCAAAGUCAAUGAAUGAAUAAAUGAGUUGAUUGCCUCUGUCGUCCUCUGUGUGACUGACUUGACUUGUGCUUGAGUGUUGAAUAUCCUCUGUGUGUCUCUCAGGCUCCAGCCAGGCUCCAGGUUCACAUGCUGCUAAAGAUGAGUCUGCAUGCUUGGAAUAAAUGUUGUGACAGUUAGGUGGAGGUGUUGGAUCGGCUUUGCAAA
Molecule: non-coding RNA, 1468 nt
Organism: Cheilinus undulatus (humphead wrasse)
Lineage: Eukaryota; Metazoa; Chordata; Actinopteri; Labriformes; Labridae
Source: the annotation of a RefSeq genome assembly